CGACCACGAGCUAUAUAAAGUCGGGUGAAAAAGUCGGUUUUAACCAGACGACGACGAUUAGCUGCCGACGAAGCUAACCUGAACCAACAUGGCGUCCGUGCGAUCCACUAUCUCCCUCCUCGUCCUCCUCGCCUUCGUCUGCGUCGCCGUCGCGCAGCCCACGUUCUUCCUGAAGAAACCCUCCUACGGCUACGGCUUCGGUUACGGCGUCGGCUACGGCUCGCACGGGGCUACCUUCCUACGGCUACGGGUCCUACAACUAUAAGCCGUACGGACAUUCCUAUGGAUACGCAUACAAGCAGCCCUCCUAUCAUUACUGGUAAAUUUCUCCGAUUCCGGGAGAUAAAAUUCUAGUACAAAAAAGCAAGCUAUUCCUGAACGAAACAAAUCAUUCUAUUUGUGACUGUUCUUGUUACGUGACUGUUCUAUGUUUGUAAUAUCAAUUUUGUGGCAUUUGUAGGAAACGGCGGAUAAUAUUAUAAAUAUUGUUCACCGUUCUAAGACCACUAUCCCUGUUUGGAAAUCGAGAUGUAAAUCAUUAUAUUUAUUUGCCAGACUUAUUUAUCAACAUGACAACAUCUCUUUUACAGUAAAGCAUUGUAAAAACUG
This is a non-coding RNA of Penaeus vannamei (Pacific white shrimp), 609 nucleotides long. Lineage: Eukaryota; Metazoa; Arthropoda; Malacostraca; Decapoda; Penaeidae. The record is from RefSeq and is a predicted model, not a curated record.